CAACGAGCGCAACCCUUAUCCUUAGUUACUACCAUUUAGUUGAGCACUCUAAGGAGACUGCCCGAGUAAUCGGGAGGAAGGUGGGGACGACGUCAAAUCAUCAUGCCUCUUACGAGUGGGGCUACACACGUGCUACAAUGGACGGUACAAAGAGAAGCGAAGUGGUGACAUGGAGCAAACCUCAAAAAACCGUUCUCAGUUCGGAUUGAAGUCUGCAACUCGACUUCAUGAAGUCGGAAUCGCUAGUAAUCGUAGAUCAGCUACGCUACGGUGAAUACGUUCUCGGGUCUUGUACACACCGCCCGUCAAACCAUGGGAGCUGGUAAUGCCCGAAGUCGGUUUAUUAAGAAACUGCCUAAGGCAGGACUGGUGACUGGGGUUAAGUCGUAACAAGGUAUCCCUACGAGAACGUGGGGAUGGAUUACCUCCUUUCUACGGA
Molecule: ribosomal RNA, 439 nt
Filed under: Mycoplasmopsis agalactiae
Lineage: Bacteria; Bacillati; Mycoplasmatota; Mycoplasmoidales; Metamycoplasmataceae
Description: bacterial SSU rRNA
Rfam family: Bacterial small subunit ribosomal RNA
Source: RNAcentral